GACGAACGCUGGCGGCGUGCUUAACACAUGCAAGUCGAACGGAAAGGCCCUGCUUUUGUGGGGUGCUCGAGUGGCGAACGGGUGAGUAACACGUGAGUAACCUGCCCUUGACUUUGGGAUAACUUCAGGAAACUGGGGCUAAUACCGGAUAGGAGCUCCUGCUGCAUGGUGGGGGUUGGAAAGUUUCGGCGGUUGGGGAUGGACUCGCGGCUUAUCAGCUUGUUGGUGUGGUAGUGGCUUACCAAGGCUUUGACGGGUAGCCGGCCUGAGAGGGUGACCGGCCACAUUGGGACUGAGAUACGGCCCAGACUCCUACGGGAGGCAGCAGUCGGGAAUAUUGCACAGUGGGCGGAAGCCUGAUGCAGCAACGCCGCGUGCGGGAUGACGGCCUUCGGGUUAUAAACCGCUUUCGCCUGUGACGAAGCGUGAGUGACGGUAAUGGGUAAAGAAGCACCGGCUAACUACGUG
This 468-nucleotide ribosomal RNA is filed under the name uncultured bacterium. Its description in RNAcentral is "partial 16S ribosomal RNA". It matches the Rfam family "Bacterial small subunit ribosomal RNA", at positions 28 to 507 of the family's 1533-position model. The record is from RNAcentral.